GGGGGAUUGCAGCUUCUGCUGCCACAUUGGAUAACUUCGCUAACGCGAAGCUAAUACAUGUUAGUACAUCGAGCGAUCAUUUCUACCGGCUUGCCGGGCAGAUCGUCUCGUGCUAGUGGUUGGAACAAAAACCAACGCCAGCAAUGGCAGUUUUUGUAAAGUGUUGACUCAAACCAUUUAGCUCAAGCACGCUACGGCGUGCGUGCCCCGAUGGGUCUCUGACCUAUCAGCUUUGACGGUAGUGUAUUGGACUACCGUGGCGAUCACGGGUACGGGGAAUUAGGGUUCGAUUCCGGAGAGGGAGCCUGAGAAACAGCUACCACUUCUACGGAGGGCAGCAGGCGCGUAAAUUGCCCAAUGCCAAAUUUGGUGAGGCAGCGAAGAGAAAUAGCGACCCUCGCCUUCGGGUGAGGACCGGAAUGGGUGGUAUUUAAAACCACCAACGAGUAACAAUUGGAGGACAAGUCUGGUGCCAGCACCCGCGGUAAUUCCAGCUCCAAUAGCGUAUAUUAAUGUUGUUGCUGUUAAAGGGUUCGUAGUUGAAUGCAGGGUGUUGGGAGCUGUGUGGUCCUAGAUCACACGACGUCCCACUCCUGUUUUUUAGACGGGAUCGAUUGCCUUGCCGAUGGCACCUUAACUGGUGUUCUGAAGCUGUUGAGUGAAGAGCUCAACGUACGCGUCAUCACACGCUACGGGCCGCCCGUCGUUAUCACUGUGAAGAAAACAGCGUGUUCAAGGCAGCCGCCUAGCGGCUGAAUGACAAAGCAUGGAAUGACAAAGCAUCGACCAAUGGGUCUGGCUUUUGUUGGUUUUUUCAACCCAUUUGGAUAUCUUAUGUUCGGUAGCUGCGCUUCCUUCGGGUUGCCAGCUCCGGGCAGACACGGGAUUAAUGGGGGUUGUCGGGGGAAAACGUAUCUGAGCGAGAGAGGUGAAAUUCUUAGACCGCUCGGGGACGAACUUAUGCGAAGGCAUUUUCCAAGUAUACCUUCAUCAAUCAAGAACUAAAGUGUGGAGAUCGAAGAUGAUUAGAUACCAUUGUAGUCCACGACUGCAAACGAUGACGCCCAUGGAUCGGAAGUGAAUACUCACCCUCCGAGAUGGGAUUUUUUCGGCGCUGCUCUACCCAAUUAACGCGAAAGCUGAGGCUAUGGUCUCAUGGGGGAGUACGUUCGCAAGGCUGAAACUUAAAGAAAUUGACGGAAUGGCACCACCAGGCGUGGAGUGUGCGGUUUAAUUUGACUCAACACGGGGAACCUUACCAGUACAGGAAAACGCAAGGAUUGACAGAUUGAUAGUUCUUUCUUGAUUCGUUUGACGGUGGUGCAUGGCCGCUUUUGGUCGGUGAAGUGAUUUGUUUGGUUGAUUCCUUUAACGGACGAGACCCAAACCGCUUAAUAGGGGCACCAUCUGCUUUCGGGCAUGCGGAGCUAUCGUGUGGCCUUCGGGUUGUGCGGUGGCUUCUGAUGGUGAUACUCCUUCUUCGCGGCAUUCCCUGCUCCUUAGCUGGGUGGAAUUUUGGGCAACAGCAGGUCCGUGAUGCU
Molecule: ribosomal RNA, 1541 nt
Filed under: Ichthyobodo salmonis
Lineage: Eukaryota; Euglenozoa; Kinetoplastea; Prokinetoplastida; Ichthyobodonidae
Description: SSU rRNA
Rfam family: Eukaryotic small subunit ribosomal RNA
Source: RNAcentral